This 312-nucleotide ribosomal RNA is filed under the name Triticum aestivum (bread wheat). RNAcentral's name for it is "partial small subunit ribosomal RNA". The record is from RNAcentral. Lineage: Eukaryota; Viridiplantae; Streptophyta; Magnoliopsida; Poales; Poaceae.
AUGUGGGUGGCCAGGGCGACUGGCAGCGCCACGCUGCUCGCACUCCCGGACGCGGCAUAUGCGCGCGCGUGGUGUCGGACGGUGCCCUGGACGUGCAGGAGGAGCUCCCAAUUCGCCGGAAUAGCUCCUGCCGGUCGCUGCCCCCUCCCGCCAGCCGCAUCCUCGCCGCCGCCUCCUCCCGCUGGGCCGCCGCCGCCUCCUACCGCAGGGACACAACCUUCCCGCAUCCUCUCUGCCGCACUAGCGCGCCACCCGCCGCCGCUCCAAUCGCCGGAAGAAAUCGCCGAUGUAACCACCGGGAGGAUAACGUGA